Coturnix japonica (Japanese quail) is the source of this 3615-nucleotide long non-coding RNA. RefSeq lists it as uncharacterized. The record is from RefSeq and is a predicted model, not a curated record. NCBI's taxonomy places the organism in Eukaryota, Metazoa, Chordata, Aves, Galliformes, Phasianidae.
CAGAAAACGAAGCAGAAUUACCAGCCACUCCCUGGGUUAUUUCCUUGCACGGCAGAGAAGCACAAGAGGCAAAUUCCACAGCUCCCCUGGAAGUGGGAUUUGCUCCAUCACAAAGUUCAGCUACCUAGACAUAAACUUCUGCUGAUAAUGAAGUGGCCUGGAACAAGGACCAAAUGCACAGAAUGUCACUUGAAUUUCCUGUCUGCUCUAUGGAAGCACUCAAGCCAGAGACAUCAAAUCAGCUCCACGCAUGCAUACAGGAAUAAGUACAAGCAUGGUGAGUGAAGGUGGCUCCAAGAUGCCAAAGAGUCAGUGCCUGCCAACGCACAGAGAAUAAAGUGUUGCAACUGUCCCUUCUGAUUGAUCAAACAGCUCUUUCAACACUGCUCCUGAGUCACUUCUCCUACAUCACAGCCCUAACAGAGAAGCUUUCUGCAGUACUCGCUUCCUUCAAGAACACAAAUAAACGUGACAAGGUUUGAGAAGCAACCUGUUAGCCUUGUCCUUGUGUUUGCAGACAAUCACAAAGAAAUGGCCCAAAGCUUUUAAGGAUGAGCUAAGAAGUGCCUCUUCAAAGGGCUGAACUGCUCAAAUGUGAGAAUGUAAUUCCUGCUUAGUGACGUCCACAACACAGUGUGUUAAAACAUGAAUUUUAAAAGGCUGCCAGUUAUUCUGCUUCCACUCAGUCCUCCAGCAAAAGCUGGGGAUGGAAGCUCUUCAGAAAGGAUUAACAACCUAUUGGUUCUUUUACAAGCCACAAAUUAAAGACAAGAAGCUUACCAAUAGGUGACUGGUCAUCCAGCUUUAACAAGUCUUUUCUGUUUGCCAACCUGUAUGCUCUAGCAUAGUGUGUUUGGUGGGGACAAGUCCUGGGGAGGCCUGCAUCUCUCAGGUGCAGUGCAGUGAUGGAAGCAGAGCUGCAAGGCAAGACCCCCACUCCCAGCUUCACUCCACAUACAGAAUAGGAGGCAGCCUCACUGCACAGAACAAUUGGCCAUGUGAGCAAUCACCUAUGAACACUCGGAGCUGAGAUCUGAUGAACAGGUGGGCACCGGGCUGCCAGGGAACAGCUCAUACAGCCCGCUGAUAGGGAGCAUGCAGGUGCACACACGAUCAAUGUGCUCAUCACCUGAAGCUGUUUUGAUUCCUGUCUUGAAGACACGCUUUGAUCGCCUUAAUAGAAGAGCUGACCUUAGGAGAAAGAAGAAGAGAAACUGCUAGGAAAAACAGCCACAGGCACACAAAAGCUUCCUGUGAAGCAGCGUUACUCAUAGGCAGCUGCUGCUGAUGAGCAUCAGCAUUCUCAUCGGCUGUGAGUCAGCAGCACCUGCUCCCCAUCACCUUCCUGCAGGACGUGCAGCACUGUGCUCAGCAGCCCUGCGUGGCAGGAUCCAGCCCACAGGACAGGGGCUGCAGGUCGGUCAGCAUGCUCUGGUUGAUACAAUCAUGUCUUAUACUAGCAGCACUCCUUUUGCAUUCACGCAGAAGAAACUGACCCCCUGCUUUAUUAGGGCAUUAUGUGUAAGCAGAAGCAGAUUUGAGCAGAAUUAAUACAGUAAACUUAAGGCGCACCUUAUGAAUUUUGUUUGGAAGACUCAAUAGGUCAUUCUUAAUCUUUGUGUAGUCCUGAACCACUGUUUCUGUUUAGGUACAUCUCUAUGAGGAUACAUACAUAGAGAUCACAUACAAUGCUGCUGUUCAAUCCAGAAUGUCUCAUGUUUUGACUGGAAAAGACACUACUGUACUUGGGAAAAAUUGAAGAUUCCAAGGUGGAAUUUCCACACAAUUAUAAAUAAUUUCUUAAAGAGUGCUCUGUUCCAUACAGAAAUGGCUGUCAUUUCUAUAGAUGUGAAAGGUCUUGACAGAUAACAAAUUUACUGUACUUUCUGACUACCUUCAGUGUUAAGCAAUUUACCAUCCAUCCAGUAAAGUUAUGAUCAGCCUAAUGUCCCGUUGCUUAUUAAUUACCAGCUCUACAAGACGUUUAAGCAGGAAAGAAAUGUGUAACAAUUGCUUUCCACCAUCUUACUUAUGCUUGCAGAGUUUGCAAGAUCACAUUCAGAAAACGGCAGAAUUCCUGACACUGGCAUUGUUUAGAACUUGGAAGACAUCCUAGCAUGUAAGAUGGGCACGUUUGCUUUGGCAGUCCUUCACCAUGGGAGGAGUGACCCAAGGGGGUGGCUUUAGGUGAAGGAAAGAAUCCUUCCCACCUUCCUGCCAAAUUAAUUUUCUCUCUAUUGCAUACAAUCCAAGCCAGAGAUGAGUCCCCAGGUCUCAAUCAAAAAAAACUUUGCUUUUUAACGUGAACAGACUCCACUUGACUUUUCUGUAUUUCACAGCAGAGAGUGAAUGGUACUGUAAGAUAUAAACAUCACACUACAGUCAGUCACAUGUGUGUGGCCCACACACACAAUGCUGUUACUGGAAGACCUCCUUUGUUUGUACCCGUUCUCUUCAUCAGCUCAAAUUUGAUUUUUGUUCUGGGUCUCUCUUUCUAGAAGAGAAAACGGUGAUGAUCACAGAAUACUGAUAAUGUGAUAACAUGCCCAGUGAAAAACAGAUCUCACUGUCAACCCCAUUUAUAUGGCAGUACAUUGGCAUUUUUAUUUGCCCUAUUGACAGUAUCUGUUUGUAGAACAGCCCUGGAAGACCCUUUUGCUGUUCCAGAGGUUCAAUGUCAUGCAAACAUGCAAUGACUCACUCCCUGAGUGUUGCAGUGGGGGCUACAAAACUUGUAAUUUUUGUUUCCUGGAGCAUCCAGAACUCCCUGGACAUCAGCAGGAAUUAGACAAGACUAGAACUGUGUCUAUUGUUCUUCUGUGCCUCAUUAUGUUCAGCAGGAUUUGAAUAUUGGGAACCAUGUCUUAAGGACAACAGAUUUUCCUGUUCUCUAAGAAGCUGCUCUUUCACAGAUGCAGUCUUUAUUUGACAAGCUCUCUGCUGAGUAUAAGAUCAAGCAGAGAAGAACAGAGUCAACUUUUGAUUAGAUUCAACUGCUUUUCGUGAUCGUAGGACUUGACUCCAAGCAUGAGACAUCUGGCAAACGCUUCAGAUGGUAGGAUGUCAUGUUUACUUACUUCUUUCCUUUGAAUACACAGAGAUACAUGCAUAAGGAAGUGGUGUGCAAUAAAUUUGUUAAAACCCCAUUUAUUUAUUUAGGGCAUUCUCUUCCCACCAUUCAUUAUUACUGCCUGAAGUACUUCUUCCUAGAGAGAACCUAAAGGAACUCAACAUGAUAACUUAUAGCCAUGUUUGCUGCUCUGCAUACAGACUGCUUUGACAGAGCAGGAUUAUCAUGACAUAUAAAAAAGCACAAGGUCAGAAAAUGAGUGUACAGGUACAGUGAUAUUGUUUUGUUUUGUUUUUAAUUUGCUCUAUGCAGAUUGUUUUGCUCAGAAUGACUCUGACUACUUAUUACUCUGGCCUUACACUUUCAUGUUUGUUGUUCAUAUUAUGCCAUCAUGCAAGCCAAUGAGUGUAUACUGCUCUUUUACACGUAGUCCACAUCAUUCACGUUAUUAUUAUUUAGUAUGCUUUAUGAGUAUGCUUGUGCCCUAACUGUAUCAUGUACUGUUUAUAACACAGCUAUGCAAAUAAAGCCAAGGGAUAAACAAA